This 84-nucleotide transfer RNA is filed under the name Pedococcus bigeumensis. RNAcentral's name for it is "tRNA-Tyr". It matches the Rfam family "tRNA". From Rfam's summary of the family: Transfer RNA (tRNA) molecules are approximately 80 nucleotides in length. Their secondary structure includes four short double-helical elements and three loops (D, anti-codon, and T loops). Further hydrogen bonds mediate the characteristic L-shaped molecular structure. tRNAs have two regions of fundamental functional importance: the anti-codon, which is responsible for specific mRNA codon recognition, and the 3' end, to which the tRNAs corresponding amino acid is attached (by aminoacyl-tRNA synthetases). tRNAs cope with the degeneracy of the genetic code in two manners: having more than one tRNA (with a specific anti-codon) for a particular amino acid; and 'wobble' base-pairing, i.e. permitting non-standard base-pairing at the 3rd anti-codon position. Lineage: Bacteria; Bacillati; Actinomycetota; Actinomycetes; Micrococcales; Intrasporangiaceae. RNAcentral also lists the same sequence under 9 other names. The record is from RNAcentral.
GGCAGGUUGCCCGAGCGGCCAAUGGGAGUGGACUGUAAAUCCAUCGCGAAAGCUUCGAAGGUUCGAAUCCUUCACCUGCCACCA